UUUCCGUAGGUGAACCUGCGGAAGGAUCAUUAAUGAGUUGUCAUGGGGUUCGAUGCUGGCAGCCAAUUUUUGGAUGCAUGUGCUUGCCCUAACAAUCAUCUUCCAAACACCUGUGCACAUUUUUGAGGGAGUCUUGAGUUGGUUGCCGCUCUUGGGUGAUUUUCUCACAUUCCCUUAUAUCAUUAUACGCUAUUAACAAUGUUGAACGUGCUCUGUGCCGCAAGGCUAUUAAUAUAAUACAACUUUUAACAACGGAUCUCUUGGCUCUC
Molecule: unclassified non-coding RNA, 269 nt
Filed under: plant metagenome
Description: partial contains small subunit ribosomal RNA, internal transcribed spacer 1, and 5.8S ribosomal RNA
Source: RNAcentral